RNAcentral lists this ribosomal RNA (378 nucleotides) under uncultured bacterium. RNAcentral describes it as "bacterial SSU rRNA". It matches the Rfam family "Bacterial small subunit ribosomal RNA", at positions 28 to 407 of the family's 1533-position model. The record is from RNAcentral.
GACGAACGCUGGCGGCGUGCUUAACACAUGCAAGUCGAGCGGUAAGGCCCUUUCGGGGGUACACGAGCGGCGAACGGGUGAGUAACACGUGGGUGACCUGCCCUCAGCUCUGGGAUAAGCCUGGGAAACUGGGUCUAAUACUGGAUAUGACUCCACGGUGCAUGCCGUGGGGUGGAAAGCCUUGUGCGGCUGAGGAUGGGCCCGCGGCCUAUCAGCUUGUUGGUGGGGUGANGGCCUACCAAGGCGACGACGGGUAGCCGGCCUGAGAGGGCGACCGGCCACACUGGGACUGAGACACGGCCCAGACUCCUACGGGAGGCAGCAGUGGGGAAUCUUGCGCAAUGGGCGAAAGCCUGACGCAGCGACGCCGCGUGAGGG